Molecule: ribosomal RNA, 305 nt
Filed under: uncultured bacterium
Lineage: Bacteria
Description: bacterial SSU rRNA
Rfam family: Bacterial small subunit ribosomal RNA
Source: RNAcentral
UUCCUACGGGGCGCAGCAGUGAGGAAUAUUGGUCAACGGGAGAGAUCCUGAACCAGCCAAGCCGCGUGAGGGAAGACGGCCCUAUGGGUUGUAAACCUCUUUUGUCGGAGAACAAAACCCGGGACGUGUCCCGGACUGCGUGUAUCCGAAGAAAAAGCAUCGGCUAACUCCGUGCCAGCAGCCGCGGUAAUACGGAGGAUGCGAGCGUUAUCCGGAUUUAUUGGGUUUAAAGGGUGCGCAGGCGGGAGAUCAAGUCAGCGGUAAAAUGUCGGGGCUCAACCCCGGCCGGCCGUUGUAACUGGUUU